AGUGGCGGACGGGUGAGUAACGCGUGAGAAUCUGCCUUGGGGUCGGGGACAACCACUGGAAACGGUGGCUAAUACCGGAUAAGCCGAUUGGUGAAAGAUUUAUUGCCCGAAGAGGAGCUCGCGUCUGAUUAGCUAGUUGUUGAGGUAAGAGCUCACCAAGGCAGCGAUCAGUAGCUGGUCUGAGAGGACGAUCAGCCACACUGGGACUGAGACACGGCCCAGACUCCUACGGGAGGCAGCAGUGGGGAAUUUUCCGCAAUGGGCGAAAGCCUGACGGAGCAAGACCGCGUGAGGGAGGAAGGCUCUUGGGUUGUAAACCUCUUUUCUCAGGGAAGAAGCUCUGACGGUACCUGAGGAAUCAGCCUCGGCUAACUCCGUGCCAGCAGCCGCGUUAAUACGGAGGAGGCAAGCGUUAUCCGGAAUUAUUGGGCGUAAAGCGUCCGCAGGUGGCGAUUCAAGUCUGCUGUCAAAGCACGGGGCUUAACUCCGUAAAGGCAGUGGAAACUGAAUAGCUAGAGUGCCGUAGGGGUAGAGGGAAUUCCCGGUGUAGCGGUGAAAUGCGUAGAGAUCGGGAAGAACAUCGGUGGCGAAAGCGCUCUACUGGACGGCAACUGACACUCAGGGACGAAAGCUAGGGGAGCGAAUGGGAUUAGAUACCCC
Molecule: ribosomal RNA, 660 nt
Filed under: uncultured bacterium
Lineage: Bacteria
Description: bacterial SSU rRNA
Rfam family: Bacterial small subunit ribosomal RNA
Source: RNAcentral